GAUGAACGCUGGCGGCGUGCCUAAUACAUGCAAGUCGAGCGAACAGACGAGGAGCUUACUCCUCUGACGUUAGCGGCGGACGGGUGAGUAACACGUGGAUAACCUACCUAUAAGACUGGGAUAACUUCGGGAAACCGGAGCUAAUACCGGAUAACAUGUUGAACCGCAUGGUUCAACAGUGAAAGACGGUCUUGCUGUCACUUAUAGAUGGAUCCGCGUCGCAUUAGCUAGUUGGUAAGGUAACGGCUUACCAAGGCAACGAUGCGUAGCCGACCUGAGAGGGUGAUCGGCCACACUGGAACUGAGACACGGUCCAGACUCCUACGGGAGGCAGCAGUAGGGAAUCUUCCGCAAUGGGCGAAAGCCUGACGGAGCAACGCCGCGUGAGUGAAGAAGGUCUUCGGAUCGUAAAACUCUGUUAUUAGGGAAGAACAAAUGUGUAAGUAACUAUGCACGUCUUGACGGUACCUAAUCAGAAAGUCACGGCUAACUACGUG
RNAcentral lists this ribosomal RNA (497 nucleotides) under uncultured bacterium. RNAcentral's name for it is "partial 16S ribosomal RNA". It matches the Rfam family "Bacterial small subunit ribosomal RNA", at positions 28 to 507 of the family's 1533-position model. The record is from RNAcentral.